Molecule: long non-coding RNA, 233 nt
Organism: Lagopus muta (rock ptarmigan)
Lineage: Eukaryota; Metazoa; Chordata; Aves; Galliformes; Phasianidae
Exons: 3
Source: RefSeq, a predicted model, not a curated record
CUCUUCUGGAGAUCCGCUCCGCUGGAAUUUCAUAAGUGACCCCAGGAUGUGGCUAACUGUUGUUUAACUUCAACUGGACUAUCCUUCCUGAAAGGAAAUAAAUUUUUCCCUGCUGAAGAUUUUCUUCUAUAUGAUAACGUCCAUCUUGGAAUUUGAAUAGCAUGUGUAUGGCUUCUUACUGUUCAGCAACACUGAAAGCCCAGUAGAGGUUCUACAGCUGAAGCUUGAGGAUC